This 233-nucleotide ribosomal RNA is filed under the name uncultured bacterium. RNAcentral describes it as "partial 16S ribosomal RNA". It matches the Rfam family "Bacterial small subunit ribosomal RNA", at positions 794 to 1030 of the family's 1533-position model. The record is from RNAcentral.
UCCACGCCGUAAACGAUGAUUACUCGAUGUUGGUGAUACACUAUCAGCGUCCAAGCGAAAGCGUUAAGUAAUCCACCUGGGGAGUACGAUCGCAAGGUUGAAACUCAAAGGAAUUGGACGGGGGCCCGCACAAGCGGAGGAGCAUGUGGUUUAAUUCGAUGAUACGCGAGGAACCUUACCUAGACUUAAAUGUAGAUUGCAUAGAGUAGAAAUAUUCUUUCCCUUCGGGCUAU